RNAcentral lists this ribosomal RNA (440 nucleotides) under uncultured bacterium. RNAcentral describes it as "bacterial SSU rRNA". It matches the Rfam family "Bacterial small subunit ribosomal RNA", at positions 340 to 773 of the family's 1533-position model. The record is from RNAcentral.
UACGGAAGGCAGCAGUGGGGAAUAUUGCACAAUGGGCGCAAGCCUGAUGCAGCCAUGCCGCGUGUAUGAAGAAGGCCUUCGGGUUGUAAAGUACUUUCAGUCGUGAGGAAGGUGUUAAGGUUAAUAACCUUAGCAAUUGACGUUAGCGACAGAAGAAGCACCGGCUAACUCCGUGCCAGCAGCCGCGGUAAUACGGAGGGUGCGAGCGUUAAUCGGAAUUACUGGGCGUAAAGGGCACGCAGGCGGUUAAUUAAGUUGGAUGUGAAUCCCCGGGCUUAACCUGGGAAUGGCAUUCAAGACUGGUUAGCUAGAGUCUUGUAGAGGGGGGUAGAAUUCCAUGUGUAGCGGUGAAAUGCGUAGAGAUGUGGAGGAAUACCGGUGGCGAAGGCGGCCCCUGGGACAAAGACUGACGCUCAUGUGCGAAAGCGUGGGGAGCAAAC